RNAcentral lists this ribosomal RNA (449 nucleotides) under uncultured bacterium. RNAcentral describes it as "partial 16S ribosomal RNA". It matches the Rfam family "Bacterial small subunit ribosomal RNA", at positions 29 to 523 of the family's 1533-position model. The record is from RNAcentral.
AACGAACGCUGGCGGCAGGCCUAACUCAUGCAAGUCGAACGCUGUAGCAAUACAGAGUGGCAGACGGGUGAGUAACGCGUGGGAACGUGCCCUUCGGUUCGGGAUAACUCAGGGAAACUUGAGCUAAUACCGGAUACGCCCUUUGGGGGAAAGAUUUAUUGCCGAAGGAUCGGCCCGCGUCCGAUUAGCUAGUUGGUGAGGUAAAGGCUCACCAAGGCGACGAUCGGUAGCUGGUCUGAGAGGAUGAUCAGCCACACUGGGACUGAGACACGGCCCAGACUCCUACGGGAGGCAGCAGUGGGGAAUAUUGGACAAUGGGCGCAAGCCUGAUCCAGCCAUGCCGCGUGAGUGAUGAAGGCCCUAGGGUUGUAAAGCUCUUUCGCCAGGGACGAUAAUGACGGUACCUGGAUAAGAAGCCCCGGCUAACUUCGUGCCAGCAGCCGCCGUAA